RNAcentral lists this ribosomal RNA (466 nucleotides) under uncultured bacterium. Its description in RNAcentral is "bacterial SSU rRNA". It matches the Rfam family "Bacterial small subunit ribosomal RNA", at positions 28 to 507 of the family's 1533-position model. The record is from RNAcentral.
GAUGAACGCUAGCGGCAGGCUUAAUACAUGCAAGUCGAGGGGCAGCACGAAUAGCAAUAUUUGGUGGCGACCGGCGCACGGGUGCGUAACACGUAUACAACCUACCUAUAACAGGGGGAUAGCCUUUCGAAAGAGAGAUUAAUACCCCGUAAUAAAUUGAGUGGCAUCACUUGAUUUUGAAAGCUACGGCGGUUAUAGAUGGGUAUGCGUCUGAUUAGCUAGUUGGUGAGGUAACGGCUCACCAAGGCGACGAUCAGUAGCCGGCCUGAGAGGGUGAACGGCCACAAUGGGACUGAGACACGGCCCAUACUCCUACGGGAGGCAGCAGUGGGGAAUAUUGGGCAAUGGGCGCAAGCCUGACCCAGCAACGCCGCGUGAGGGAAGAAGGCUUUCGGGUUGUAAACCUCUAUCCUUGGUGACGAAACAAAUGACGGUAGCCAAGAAGGAAGCCCCGGCUAACUACGUG